This 266-nucleotide signal recognition particle RNA is filed under the name pig gut metagenome. Its description in RNAcentral is "Bacterial large signal recognition particle RNA". It matches the Rfam family "Bacterial large signal recognition particle RNA". From Rfam's summary of the family: The signal recognition particle (SRP) is a universally conserved ribonucleoprotein involved in the co-translational targeting of proteins to membranes. Archaeal SRP consists of a 7S RNA and homologues of the eukaryotic SRP19 and SRP54 proteins. The record is from RNAcentral.
CCGCGCUAAGCGGGGAGUUAGCGGUGCCCUGAACCUGCGAUCCGCUACAGCAGGGCCGAAUCCCCGCCUUGAGGUACGCCUUUGUGGGGCAGCCUCUGUUAAGGAGCAUUGAUACCCGGGUCCCGUGCAACCAGCCUCUGUGAACCAUGUCAGGGCCGGAAGGCAGCAGCAUUAAACGGCUGAGCGGGUGUGCCGCGGGGCUGCCCGGGAGUAGCCACCUGACAGAACAGCGCCCAUGGGGAGCGUUAUCGAGGGGCGGGUGCGCG